RNAcentral lists this small nuclear RNA (63 nucleotides) under Echinops telfairi (small Madagascar hedgehog). RNAcentral describes it as "U7 small nuclear RNA (ENSETEG00000025545.1)". It matches the Rfam family "U7 small nuclear RNA". Rfam says of the family: Animal histone pre-mRNAs are spliced by a different mechanism than nuclear pre-mRNAs and self-splicing introns. This processing involves the U7 snRNP, which contains only one RNA species: U7. Lineage: Eukaryota; Metazoa; Chordata; Mammalia; Afrosoricida; Tenrecidae. The record is from RNAcentral.
CAGUGUUACAGCUCAUUAAUGAUUUGUCGAGUAGUUUUUCUGGCUUUCUCUGGAAGCAUCCCU